This 1608-nucleotide long non-coding RNA is filed under the name Brassica napus (rape). RNAcentral's name for it is "long non-coding RNA (BNAP_LNC018002)". Lineage: Eukaryota; Viridiplantae; Streptophyta; Magnoliopsida; Brassicales; Brassicaceae. The record is from RNAcentral.
AGUUUCCGCCGCUACCUCCUCCUCCGGCGGAUGAAGCCGCCGGGAGAUUUGGAGAUGUGCGGAGGGAGGAACAUACCGAUGCAUUGCGUGGAAACGAGACGACGAGCCUUGGAUCGCGCGUGAGGUUGAUCGCUCUAGGACCGGUCUGGUUCGGUUUAGCCGACAAGUGGAGACGAGCUAUAGCCGCCAUCUUCUUCUCAACGAGUCGCUUCAAGAAUGGGAGAAGUUGAACUAAAGAUCUGAGAGAUCUGAGAUUGAAUCGAAUCACGGCGUGCAGACAGAGAGAGAGAGAGAGAGACAGAGAAUCUCGUUCGCCUUUUAAAAAAAAAAACCUUCCUUUUAAAACACAACACAACAAUCAAUGUUCUCAAUGGGGCCCACUUCCCACCUGCGAAAACUGAAGCUGGAUCUGAGCCCACCACGUGUCGGUACGAUAAACUAACUUCACCAACUAUAUUCACCUCACCCACCACCAUUGUUGAUUUUUUCUUUGCUUACGGACAAAAAAAGUAUUGAACUUUCAAUGUUUUUGUAGAUACAGACGAAGAAAAGAGACAAGCUUUCCUAGGACUAACAGUUGUUUGGUCUCUUUUCUCUACUCAAACUAGCUGUUAUUGGACGAAAGUAUUGCACUUUCAACGUUUAUAUAGAUGGAAACAAGGCAAAAGGACAAGCUUUCCUAGAAAAGACAUAACUUAUUGCUGCUCAAAACACGAAUAUAAUGUAAUUAGAUGUCAAUACUACAACAACUCACACAACACAUGAAUAAAUAAUCCCAAAAACAAUCUAAAAUCUUAAUGGUUACAAAUGCAUCAUCAUCACAGCUACUUUCACGUUUCUUUUCAAAUGUUUUCCUCUGUUAAGGAGGAAAGACAUUAGAGUACUUCUCUUGGUGCUUUGUGCUUUGAGAAUCAUCACUGGUGUGGAUCAGAGAGGUAUAAAAGCAGAAGAACCAAGAGUAGACGUUACAUAAACAAAACACCAUUAGGCUUGGUUAUACACAUAUAUGACUCGCUGGACAGGCUUUGAAGAUCCCAGGCAAGAGAUUCGAGGCCCCCGCGGAGGCUGCGGAGGGAGCUAAGAGGUACAUGAGCGUGAAGUUGAGGAUCGAACCCACGACGAGGGUCGAGAAGACGAAGUCUAGCUCGUUGAGUCCGAAGUUGGGGCGUGAGGCCAUGUCGCCGAGUACGUUGGCGGUUACGCCAACGAGCUCUUCCAUGAGGACUUUGAAUGGGAACUGAGGAUCAGCUGCGACUCGUGAUCUCCAUCCUUGGAUGAACAUCCCUAUCGGUCCCCAUGGAGACGGUUCUUGCUUCCCUCCUGAAUCUCCGUUAUCACCGCCGCCGCCGCCUCCGACGAAGUUUCCGCCGCUACCUCCUCCUCCGGCGGAUGAAGCCGCCGGGAGAUUUGGAGAUGUGCGGAGGGAGGAACAUACCGAUGCAUUGCGUGGAAACGAGACGACGAGCCUUGGAUCGCGCGUGAGGUUGAUCGCUCUAGGACCGGUCUGGUUCGGUUUAGCCGACAAGUGGAGACGAGCUAUAGCCGCCAUCUUCUUCUCAACGAGUCGCUUCAAGAAUGGGAGAAGUUGAACUAAAGAUCUGAGAGAUC